RNAcentral lists this transfer RNA (91 nucleotides) under Roseobacter sp. GAI101. Its description in RNAcentral is "tRNA-Ser". It matches the Rfam family "tRNA". From Rfam's summary of the family: Transfer RNA (tRNA) molecules are approximately 80 nucleotides in length. Their secondary structure includes four short double-helical elements and three loops (D, anti-codon, and T loops). Further hydrogen bonds mediate the characteristic L-shaped molecular structure. tRNAs have two regions of fundamental functional importance: the anti-codon, which is responsible for specific mRNA codon recognition, and the 3' end, to which the tRNAs corresponding amino acid is attached (by aminoacyl-tRNA synthetases). tRNAs cope with the degeneracy of the genetic code in two manners: having more than one tRNA (with a specific anti-codon) for a particular amino acid; and 'wobble' base-pairing, i.e. permitting non-standard base-pairing at the 3rd anti-codon position. RNAcentral also lists the same sequence under 12 other names. The record is from RNAcentral. Lineage: Bacteria; Pseudomonadati; Pseudomonadota; Alphaproteobacteria; Rhodobacterales; Roseobacteraceae.
GGAGAGGUGCCGGAGUGGUCGAACGGGACGGUUUCGAAAACCGUUGAGCCUCUAAAGGGUUCCCAGGGUUCGAAUCCCUGUCUCUCCGCCA